GACAGCAGUCGCCGCGGUAAUACGAAGGGGGCUAGCGUUGCUCGGAAUGACUGGGCGUAAAGGGCGCGUAGGCGGUGGCCAAAGUCAGGCGUGAAAUUCCUGGGCUCAACCUGGGGGCUGCGCUUGAUACUUGGUUGCUUGAGUGGGGAAGAGGGUCGUGGAAUUCCCAGUGUAGAGGUGAAAUUCGUAGAUAUUGGGAAGAACACCGGUGGCGAAGGCGGCGACCUGGUCCUUGACUGACGCUGAGGCGCGAAAGCGUGGGGAGCAAACAGGAUUAGAUACCCGCGUAGUCCCUGUCUCUUAUAA
RNAcentral lists this ribosomal RNA (306 nucleotides) under uncultured bacterium. RNAcentral describes it as "partial 16S ribosomal RNA". It matches the Rfam family "Bacterial small subunit ribosomal RNA", at positions 507 to 809 of the family's 1533-position model. The record is from RNAcentral.